AUUAAAGUGGCAGAAUUCAAUGCAAGGAAUUUAAGCUUCCUUUAUGAGUAAUCCUUUAAUA
RNAcentral lists this transfer RNA (61 nucleotides) under Ixodes myrmecobii. Its description in RNAcentral is "tRNA-Leu". Lineage: Eukaryota; Metazoa; Arthropoda; Arachnida; Ixodida; Ixodidae. The record is from RNAcentral.